This 468-nucleotide ribosomal RNA is filed under the name uncultured bacterium. Its description in RNAcentral is "partial 16S ribosomal RNA". It matches the Rfam family "Bacterial small subunit ribosomal RNA", at positions 28 to 507 of the family's 1533-position model. The record is from RNAcentral.
GACGAACGCUGGCGGCGUGCUUAACACAUGCAAGUCGAACGGAAAGGCCCUGCUUUUGUGGGGUGCUCGAGUGGCGAACGGGUGAGUAACACGUGAGUAACCUGCCCUUGACUUUGGGAUAACUUCAGGAAACUGGGGCUCAUACCGGAUAGGAGCUCCUGCUGCAUGGUGGGGGUUGGAAAGUUUCGGCGGUUGGGGAUGGACUCGCGGCUUAUCAGCUUGUUGGUGGGGUAGUGGCUUACCAAGGCUUUGACGGGUAGCCGGCCUGAGAGGGGGACCGGCCACAUUGGUACUGAGAUACGGCCCAGACUCCUACGGGAGGCAGUAGUGGGGAAUAUUGCACAAUGGGCGGAAGCCAGAUGCAGCAACGCCGCGUGCGUGAUGACGGCCUUCGGGGUGUAAACCGCUUUCGCCUGUGACGAAGCGUGAGUGACGGUAAUGGGUAAAGAAGCACCGGCUAACUACGUG